UACGGGCGUAGCGAGCGUUGUUCGGAAUUAUUGGGUGUAAAGGGUGCGCAGGCGGUCGUUUAAGUCGGAAGUGAAAUGUCCACGGCUCAACCGGGAAUCUGCUUCCGAUACUGGACGACUUGAGUGCGGGAGGGGAGCGUGGAAUUCCUGGUGUAGCGGUGAAAUGCGUAGAUAUCAGGAGGAACACCUGUGGCGAAGGCGACGCUCUGGCCCGUAACUGACGCUCAUGCACGAAAGCCAGGGGAGCGAACGGG
RNAcentral lists this ribosomal RNA (254 nucleotides) under uncultured bacterium. RNAcentral describes it as "partial 16S ribosomal RNA". It matches the Rfam family "Bacterial small subunit ribosomal RNA", at positions 524 to 776 of the family's 1533-position model. The record is from RNAcentral.